CCGGAAGAAAAGCGAACAUAUAUCAAGAAGAGAAAAAAAACAAGUAGAAAAACCCAUGUAGGAGGAAAAGUGACCAAAAAUGGCAACAUAUACAAUAGGAUCGCGGAUUUGCAAAAUCGUUUUUUAAUCCGUUUAACUU
Non-coding RNA from Caenorhabditis elegans, 139 nucleotides. The record is from Ensembl. NCBI's taxonomy places the organism in Eukaryota, Metazoa, Nematoda, Chromadorea, Rhabditida, Rhabditidae.